UACGGGGGUGGCAAGCGUUGUUCGGAAUUACUGGGCGUAAAGGGCUCGUAGGCGGCCAACUAAGUCGGACGUGAAAUCCCUCGGCUUAACCGGGGAACUGCGUCUGAUACUGGAUGGCUUGAGAUUGGGAGAGGGAUGCGGAAUUCCAGGUGUAGCGGUGAAAUGCGUAGAUAUCUGGAGGAACACCGGUGGCGAAGGCGGCAUCCUGGACCAACACUGACGCUGAGGAGCGAAAGCCAGGGGAGCAAACGGG
Molecule: ribosomal RNA, 253 nt
Filed under: uncultured bacterium
Lineage: Bacteria
Description: partial 16S ribosomal RNA
Rfam family: Bacterial small subunit ribosomal RNA
Source: RNAcentral